AAAGUUCUGGUUUGAAAUCGGAAAAUUCUGGUUUGAAACCGGAAAAUUCUGGUUUGAACCUUGAAAAUUCUGGUUUGAAACCGGAAAAUUCUG
This 93-nucleotide transfer RNA is filed under the name Fischerella sp. NIES-4106. Its description in RNAcentral is "tRNA-Ser". Lineage: Bacteria; Bacillati; Cyanobacteriota; Cyanophyceae; Nostocales; Hapalosiphonaceae. The record is from RNAcentral.